Molecule: non-coding RNA, 150 nt
Filed under: Rubrobacter xylanophilus
Lineage: Bacteria; Bacillati; Actinomycetota; Rubrobacteria; Rubrobacterales; Rubrobacteraceae
Also listed under: 1 other name
Description: FMN sequence
Rfam family: FMN riboswitch aptamer (RFN element)
About the family: The RFN element is a highly conserved domain that is found frequently in the 5'-untranslated regions of prokaryotic mRNAs that encode for flavin mononucleotide (FMN) biosynthesis and transport proteins.
Source: RNAcentral
GGUAACUUUCGGGGGCGGGUGGAAUUCCCGCACCGGCGGUGAGCCCGGGUCCAGCGCGCCCGGGGAGCCCGCGACCCCCCGCCGCAGGCGGGGGUGGAGCCGGUGAGAGUCCGGCGCCGACGGUGAUAGUCCGGAUGGGAGAAAGGAAGC